CAGCUGCUCCUAAAGGAGCUCCCACUUGGGGAUGGGGCCUUGGGCAUCCACAUUACUGUAGAGGGAAGAACUAGAGGAGAUCAAGCAGACCAACUUUUCUCACAGUCGGAUCACCUACCUCUACUGCCAGUUCACCAGCCUGGACAAAGGUAGAAGAAUCUGGGGAAGGCCGGUUCUAUGUGUCCUGCUUCUUUCUGUGUGUUUCCACAGUGGCCCAACCUGUAGUGUUUCUCCUUCAGAUGCAAAAAGGGAGAUCGCAGGAGUCCAUGCUCAGCUCCAGCCUAACUCGGUCCACAGGCAGGGAGAGAAUUAUGAAUGGAUGCUGCCUUCUGAUGAGGAAGUCGACUGGGGAGGUCUCUGCGCACGGCGCGCUCCAUCAAAGCCGGGGCAUUGGCCCCUCCACUGCUUCAAUGCUGCAGGCUGAGACACCUAAUUGACCACUGGGAAAUCAGGUGCCGGGAGACCUGGGCGGGACGUAGCCCCAGGGCCACGCUGAGAUCGAGCGCCUUGCCGGUGUAGACAGCUUCGAUUUACAGCCCAGUGAAUGGAGGGGACUGCGGCAGCCAAACCUCCCGGGCAGCAGGCACGGUUGCACCAACGCUCUGCAGACAACCGCCCGGCUCCGUGAACAUCUCCCAGCUCCGCUGGGCUAAAGGGAACCUGCUAAAAAUAAUCCGUCCCCUGCCGCCAGCCGCAGUGAGCUGCAGGACUCAGCCCCCAGCCCCAAACUCUGCGGUGCGCGGGAGCCGGCCACAAAGCCGGCCCUGCGCGCUUAGACAAGCCGGGGGUUGCGGAGGAUGCUGGGUCCGGAUUUCUGGAACCUGUGCGUUUGCUUCUCCGGUAGCGCGACUGCCCGUGCUGCGUGUUACCCAUGCCCGGAGUGGCAGUGGGCUCGGCACAUCACCAACAGGCUGGACCGACCACGGCUGCUCAGCACCGCACCCCCGCGGCUCCCUUCUCACCUCCCUUGUCCCCAGUCUUUGACCAACAGCAGAAGAAUGAGAGACGCUGACGGUGCCAACUCCUCCAGCCCCGGCAAGAGGGAAGCCAGACACUGGUGUGGAGUAGGUGCCGGGUGUGUAACAGGACUAGGGCAGCCCCCAGAUUGUAACAUUGCGUCCCUUCCCCCUAUUCAUCUCUGGUGGCUGAAACCUUGCAUCCUAGAUACAACUCACUCUGCCCAGGCUUAAAAACACUGCAAAGACAAUGCCUUCACAGUGAUGAACUGAUCUCCAGGGAAGGGUGAUUUACUAAGCCAGCUGUGGGGUUGAAUCAGGGUUAAAAACCAUGGCAUUGUGUGCCCAUGCCUUAGGCUGGUAGGUUGUAUAUAUAACAACAGCAUGCAGAAGAGAAAAAAGCCAUUUAGGGCCACUGCACCACUUAUGGGAUAUACCCUAAUAUAUAACAAGGGGGAAAAAAAACAGUGGAUGAAAUUAUCCAAAGAUGCCUUGUGGGACACAGUUUUUGGUAAUCUGUCUUGAUGCCUUGGAAACCCAUUUCAGAAAAACUUGACUAUUUUCUGACCAGGUCAUCUAUUUUCAAAUAGGGAGGUUUAUGCCCUGGACAGAUUUACAUGUGUGGGCAGUACUAUGUCCACGAGGCCGGUGACUCCUCCAUAAUUCACAGAUUGUGGUGAAACACUAACUUGCCAAGGUCAUAAGAAAUCACAGGGUUUGCAUGUGCACUGGUAGAGCAUUUCCUAAUUGGCAUUACUAUGAAUUAUGAUUGUGGUCACAUGAAAUAUCACAUCGAACCCAAGUUAGUCUGGGUUGGCUGCUGUCCUCCGACCCCACUCACACUAACCUCCUUGGAGGGUUGCCAGCUACCAGGAAGGUUAGAAGAUCUGGCCGGAGUCCCCCUGAAAGAUGGUGUGGCUAGGACAGGAAGGUUGAGGAGGAAAGAAGUGCUGUGGCCACUCCCCCAUGAGGAUCAGAGGAGAGCCAUGAACCCUACAGUUUAAGGGCUAGGUAGGCAAAGGAGAAGAGGCUACCAGAGAGAAAGAAAGAGAUGAGUCAGAGAAGCAGGAGACCAGGAGGGAAGGAGGGCCCUAUCUCAGAAAUCAUGGGACAAAAAAGUUUCAAGGAGGCAGCAUGAUUGAGAAUGCAAAUGUCACUGAGAGGUCCAUGGGAACAGUUUUGUCCGCCAACAGCCGACCUGUGCCCCUUAGACUUCAGGAAGGCCUGAUGGAGUGGACACUGAUAUGAAGUAUGGGGUGGAUGGGAAGGCCAGCCAGAGCUUCUGAAAAGAAAAGAGAAGUCUUUCCCUUAGACUUGCUCAUCAAAGGAUCGGUGGCACCAGCAGCAUUUGGGAACCUGUGCCACCCACACCUGGGAGAGGUGCACAGUGAGGUCUGGAGAUCCGUGUGUAUUCACAAGCUCCCAGACCCACUCUACUCGGGACACUGGAAGUCCCACCAGGGGACUCAAACUGGUCAGGCUCUGAAAUGAGAAUUUAUGUCUAGGUGAGCAAGAUGGUGAGCUCAUAGGGAGCUGGUGGCCGAAUCACUAACCCUGUAUCCCAAGAGUUGAACUGUGUUGCUCCGGGUUUUUGGGGCUGCUCUGUCAAGAGAGAGCCUUGCCAGCACUCCCUAAAGUAAUGGAAAUGGCCACAUCUUCCCCUUCACAUUGAUCUUUACAACACCGAGGUUGUUAUUAACAGUGAUAAUGAAAAUAAAUGAUAUAACUAGAUAGUUUGCACGUGAAUGAAGUUUUAGCAGUUCCCAUGGUGUAGAGGGGAAAAAAAAAACAAACCAACAAACCGGGUUUUUGUCCCAGGAAGACCUGUGCUUGAAUCCUAGCUCCUCCACCUCUUAGCGGUAUGGCCUUGGGAAAAUGAUUUGACUUCUCUGAACCUUGGUUUCCUCAUUUGUAAAAUGCAAACAGGAAUACCUAAUUUAUAGGCUUAUUAGGAAGAGUAAAUAAAAGAUACAAAGCACCAUGAUGGUGCCAGCACAUAAUAAAAGCCCAACAAAGGCAGUUCCUUCCUGUUAGAAGUCUUCAUGUGCAUGCUCGUCUAGUAGUUUUUCUGGGGUCCCUGUCCCCUGAAAGGUGGUUAGAGUACCCGAUGCUUCCCAUGGCUGAGGGCUCCAAAGGAAGCACAUACUGAACAUCUCUUAGAUGCCAGCUACUGUGCUACGUGCUGGCCAGGAGAGCAGGGUCUGGGCCCUGCUGGAACUGGCAUUUUAAGGGCAGAGUUUGCAUCCCAGUGCAAAUGGGUAUCCUACUUGUUUUUAUUGGAAGCCAAGGAUACCCAGUCUCAAGAAGAAACAACUGCAAAUGUGUCCUCCGUAGGACAGUGAUCAGUAAACUGGUUCUGCUGUAAAGGGCCAGACAGUAAAUAAUUUAGGCAUUGUGGGCCACGCAAUCUCUGUUGAAACUAGUUCACACUGCUGCUGUGUGUGUAGCUCAAAAGCUGCCACAGGCGAGGCAUAAAUGAAUGGAUGUGGCCGUGUCCCAAUAAAACUUUAUCCACAACAGCAGGCGGCAGGUGAGAUUCGGUCCGUGGGCCACAGUUUGUCAGCCUAUGAUCUAUACUGUGGCUCAAGGCAUAAAUAUUCCCUUUACCUGGUACUGCCAGGAAAUACGGAAGUCUCCAUAGGUGAUUUUGCACGUAACUAAAGUUUAUCCAAACACGAGCAGUUUCCUGAAGCCCCUUGUUAUUUUAAAGCCUAUUUUAUACCUUCCCUGGAAGAAACUGGCUAGUUAGCUGUUCACCAGACUGUCUCUGCCUUUCCCCCACAGCCAGCUUCCCUUGCAGUUAGGUGCAGCCACAUAACUGAGUGCUAGCCAAUGGAACGUGGGCAACGGGGUGUGUGUCUCCAGGCCGGGCCCAUAAAACUCCUACCCGUUCCUACACACACUCCCAUCUCCCUCCUGCUGGCUAAACACAGGCGCUCUGUCGGGUGGUGGAACCCCAAGAUGGAAGGAGCCUUGGUACCCAAAUGACUGCAUGCUGGCCUGCAUUAGACUGCACUGUGAGAAAUAAGCCUCUGAAAUGUUGGGGAUUUUAUUACCAGAAUUUAGCCUACCUUGAACAAUUCACUUUUCCUAUCUUUUUAAUCAGAUGGUAGGAAACACAAUUUAAUGCUUUGGUGACUACUUAGGGUCUUUAUUAAGAAGGCUUAUUAUUGGUCUCUAUGGUAACACAUUUCAAAGACUCCUUUUUGGGUUUCCAAGCUCUUUCCCUGAUAUUUAGCUCUCCACUGUCAUUCCUCUUUCACCCUCCUUCUAGCUCCUUCCCCGUGGUUUGAAUCCACAGUGAGCUGAAGAAAACAGACACCAUGGCUGAGUAACAUCUGUUCAUUAAACAAGAGUUACUAAUGGUCUGAGCAAGAACCUAAGCAAGGUUCUUAAUGAAGUUCACGGGCUUGCUCACAACUAUUUGCAGCCUUCGGAAGCUCCCUUCACUGACUUUCAGCCUCAGUGCUGUGUUCUAGAGAGCUGAAGUUAUUGGAAAUUCAGCAUCUCUGGAAUCAGUGUGGCAUUUCAGUAUUAUCUAGCCCACAAACUUUCAAUUUUUCUACUAGUCAGCCAGGGGGGAUCCAUGAUAAAGAUUCUAGUUCCGUGCCUUGACGUUCAUGGGCUAGGCAGCUUUCGAAAUACACUUUCGGAUUUUUCUGCACAUAGAUUAAGCCCAUUAUAUGCUCCAAAUCUGCUUUAAACUCACCUUUUCUGCUUAAUUAUUCUGUGGACACCAAGAGAUAUUAGUUAGCUCAUAGCUUAUAGGAACUAGGAGAAUUGACUUGAAAAGGCUAAAUAAUUUUAUUCUUGUUCCAGAGCUGGUAUUACCUUUAUGUCUUGGGCGAUUUACCAAGAAAACUGAGCCAAGCUUUGGACCUGGUCUUUGGAUUAUUCUGAGAGGUGGGGAUAUGGUCCUCUCCCAGCAUGAGGCAGGAUCCAGGAGAGGAGUUGGUAGGGCAGAUCAAUGAAGCAGGGAUUGGAGGAAGCAGACAGAGUCCAGAUACCUUGACAGUCUGAUUUUACUUUUUUAUCAAAAGAACUGAGAUAGCUGUAUUUAAAUGAUCCUCUUGGUCUGUCUCUUCAUCUAUGAAACAAGGAGGGUGGAGAUGAUCUAUCAGGUUUUCUCUAGGUCUGUCAUUCUGGAAGUCUAUUGUUCUAUGAAACCUGGAACCAAAAAUCUUUCUGAAAUGAUUGCUGAUCAUCAGUGCUUAGUUUCUCUUCCCAUUUCUGCUGAUACUCCAGAAACUGACAACUCUACACAUAAACUUUAGCAUCUGCAAGGGCAAUAAUAUGUUCUGUGGUCUGCGCAGGCUGGGGAAACCUUUUGCCCCAGCAUGACCUUGUUCGUGACCUUGGGGAUCUCAAUUCCAGCUCUACGCUCUACCAUACGCACCCUCUCCUCAUGUUCUUGGAGGCUGGCUUCCCUACUUUAUUCUCCCCAGCUCCAGUGAUGGAAACCCAGGUCUGCCUCCAAAGCUCACUUCCCUGAAGCAAGCUGGAUAUCCCCUUCAUGGCGAUGGGCAUGGCAGAGCCUUGUCUCCCAUGUCUCCUUGGCAGCACGUUACUCCUACUGUUGCCCCGCCACUGCUCAUAAGAGACCCCACGACUUCCAGAAGAAAUCAGGGCUAUAAAAUGGCUCACUCGUUCAUAAGGAGCUAUGUGUUUAUUCAUAUAUAUUUUAUAUCAUAACAAAUGUAAAUUAAUUUCAGGGUGCAACUACCCAAGCUAGCAUCUAUAUGGCUGCCUGUAUAAAAUUUCUCUCUCAAAAUUCUCUAAACCAUCUGGCAUAAACUACUGUAUUGUGACCUGUUAAAAUAAGUAACAGCUGUGAUAAUCCCUCCCGAUUUAUGGCAAGCUAUAAAACUCUGCAUAUACUGGCAAUGCAUAUAAAAUAAUAAA
Canis lupus familiaris (dog) is the source of this 5858-nucleotide long non-coding RNA. RefSeq lists it as uncharacterized. The transcript has 3 exons. The record is from RefSeq and is a predicted model, not a curated record. Lineage: Eukaryota; Metazoa; Chordata; Mammalia; Carnivora; Canidae.